CACGGGGGGAGCAAGCGUUGUUCGGAAUCACUGGGCGUAAAGGGCGUGUAGGCGGUCAGGUAAGUGGAAUGUGAAAUCCCUCGGCUUAACCGGGGAACUGCGUCUGAUACUGGAUGGCUUGAGUUUGGGAGAGGGAUGCGGAAUUCCAGGUGUAGCGGUGAAAUGCGUAGAUAUCUGGAGGAACACCGGUGGCGAAAGCGACUUCCUGGACCAAUACUGACGCUCAUGUGCGAAAGCGUGGGGAGCAAACAGG
Molecule: ribosomal RNA, 253 nt
Filed under: uncultured bacterium
Lineage: Bacteria
Description: partial 16S ribosomal RNA
Rfam family: Bacterial small subunit ribosomal RNA
Source: RNAcentral